ACGAGAAGCGAACCUGCGAAGGCAAGCGGAUCUCUUAAAGCCGUUCUCAGUUCGGACUGUAGGCUGCAACCCGCCUACACGAAGCUGGAAUCGCUAGUAAUCGCGGAUCAGCACGCCGCGGUGAAUACGUUCCCGGGCCUUGUACACACCGCCCGUCACACCAUGGGAGCCGGUAAUACCCGAAGUCAGUAGUCCAACCACGUGAGGACGCUGCCGAAGGUAGGAUUGGCGACUGGGGUGAAGUCGUAACAAGGUAUC
Molecule: ribosomal RNA, 258 nt
Filed under: uncultured bacterium
Lineage: Bacteria
Description: partial 16S ribosomal RNA
Rfam family: Bacterial small subunit ribosomal RNA
Source: RNAcentral